Non-coding RNA from Bemisia tabaci, 638 nucleotides. Lineage: Eukaryota; Metazoa; Arthropoda; Insecta; Hemiptera; Aleyrodidae. The record is from RefSeq and is a predicted model, not a curated record.
CGUGAUUACUGUUACUGCUACUCAAAAAUCACAGUGAAAAGUAGCAGUGAUUUUUCACAGGAUAACCUAAAAAUACCGCCGUCUCCGACACUUCCUUGACUCUGGUCGGAUCACAUGUGAAAAGUAGCAGGUGGCGGUUAUGCUGUGAUUUAUCACAGGUUAACCUUAUCAAACGAUCCUUCCCAAAUGCUUUCUACAUCUUCAAAAUUAAAAGUCAACCAUGCAGUGACAGAGCACUCCGUGGGUUCACUAUUGGAUUCACUGCUACUUUCACCUGUGAUUUAUCACUGGUUGACGUCACUACCCACAAUGCAUUGUAAUAUUCGGAGAUUUCACGUGAUUGGCUAUCCGCCCUAUCUAGUCCUAUGGUGCUACUCUGCUCUGCCACUGUUAUCAUGCUGCUCUUUUUAAACUGCUACUGCUCUUUUUGCUUCGUUAUCGCAAUCGCAGUGUAUCCAACUGUGACUAUGAUUAACCAUGUGCAAGCUUAUUCGUAAAUUUUUUUCGCCGUUUAACACUAAAGUUUUGGUUACUCACUGUUUAACUAUCAGCGACUAACUUUUGAUGAAAACUGCCCAAAAAAGAGCAGAAUAACAGGUGUUCCUCGCCAGUCACAGUGAUCGAUCACUGCUACUCAA